Egretta garzetta (little egret) is the source of this 4577-nucleotide long non-coding RNA. RefSeq lists it as uncharacterized. The transcript is spliced from 4 exons. The record is from RefSeq and is a predicted model, not a curated record. Lineage: Eukaryota; Metazoa; Chordata; Aves; Pelecaniformes; Ardeidae.
UUGGCGAAGGUUACAGCUGAAUGCAGAAGUGACACAAACUGACUCUUCAUUCCAGCAAACUCCUUUCCAUCUUCUCUUCGUGGCGUCUCGAUUAAAAGUCCUGCUGGGGACUUGCAUCUGGCCUCAAUGUGAAAUUAAGGUAGAAAAACACAUCUACAUAUGUGUUUGCUAUUAGGAUUUAGUUUAUUCACUGGUCAUGCCUGAAGAGUGAUGUUCGUCUCUAGACGGCUAACUGCCAGGAAAUAUAAAUGAUUGUCCUAGAAGUCAAGCCUCUCUCCUAUUUACUGGAGUGAAAAUCACCUCCAGAUAUCGACGGAAUAUCAACUACAGAAAAUGCUUCACGUUAUAAGGAUGCCAGCCACCUAGAUUCAUGCGCCCUAUCUGUACAGUUGUUGUGGAUGGUUUGCCAUCUGAAAGCUCCUCAAGCUCUUAUCCAGGCCCUGUAUCUGUUUCUGAAAUGUCUCUGCUACAUGCUUUGGGUCCAGUGCAGACCUGGCUGGGACAAGAGCUAGAGAAGUGUGGCAUUGAUGCCAUGAUUUAUACUCGGUAUGUCCUCAGUCUUCUGCUGCAUGAUAGCUAUGACUACGACCUGCAGGAACAGGAGAAUGACAUCUUCCUGGGCUGGGAAAAGGGAGCUUACAAGAAAUGGGGAAGGAGCAGAAAAAACAAACACUAGAGGAAAUGAAAAAACAGGCUGCUGUCCAGUGUCUUCGCUCUGCUUCUGAUGAAAUUACAUCACUGAGUGGAAGUGAAGUUGAAGUGCACUGACUGGAGAAGGUGAGGAGAGGUGAAGGCAACAGGUUGAAGGAAGAUACCAGAGGCAGCAGAUACCAUGUAGCUCAAUGGAAAAGUGGAGAAAGGGAGAGACCGUCAAAGGAAAUGUUUAAAAAGAAAAAAUAAUCUGUAGCACAGGUCAAUGAAAGCUCUCCAGGGAGAUUUUUCAGACAACAGAAAUGAGAAAGUAUCUUUUAGUUUACAGAACUACAAAUACUCUGAUCUAUCACUACGGUAAGAAGAAACUCUACCCCACCUAUGCAGCCUGGUUGCAUUAUUGCUCCAUAUAGCUUCCCAGUCACAGUUUGCGCUUGUGCAAGCAUUUGUGUGGUUGUGUGGAGAACUUGAUUGGGAAAGUGAAUCAGUUUCCUGAGAUUAACCUGGUUGGGGUGGAGGAAAUGUUAACCCAGAGAAGUUUCCUGGUCAGAUUUGUGGCCCUGACACUUGCGCCAGCAAGAGAGGGGAAGGUAUGUGGCCAAGAAUAAUGAAGGAAGUGGAGUCGAUUUAUCUGGUUAUUCCCACCACCACCACCACCUUCAGCAGCAUUGCCAUCAUGUACUGACUUACUGUUUGUAAAGCUACUUGAGCAUUUGUUUAGUUACUAAAGGUGCUAACUAACUGGGAGUUUUCUGAACUCCCAUUUUCCCAUUACUUAGUAUCCUAACAAAGUGAUGCAAAAUACAAUUUUGUUGGUAAUUUGCUCUGCUCUUAUAGUUACAGAAUAUUGAGGUCAGCACUCUGACUACCGUAAAAGUUGAUUUAAAUAUGAAGCAAGUAUGAAGAAAUAAUUGCGAGAAGUAAAGUCUUUCUUGAGGACAUGACUAUCUUUGUGUACUCACUUUAUGAACAACAAGAAGUAGUAGUCUCAUACGUAGACCACAGGAAUAACUAUGAUCAGUUUUUAACUUUAGAAAUUACUCUCUUGAUGCAUCUUCACAUAACUGAAAAUCAAGGAGCAUCACUUAGAGCUGAAUUUGUAUCAUAUAGAGAAAUCCACUUAAAAAGGAAGGAGGUAAAUUUAUUAAUAAUUCCUGGUCUGCCUCCACUUGAAAGUUUGUAUAAUCUAAAACAGAUGAAGGAGGGAAGAAACCCUUCAACUAGAGUUUUGAAAGAAUAAGAAGAUGUGUGAUCUGAAAUGUUGAACAAGUAACUUCGUCCUUUGACUCCUGCCACCUUGUCAGGUUUUUAUUCUUCAACAUUAACCUAUAAGCUACAACCUAUAGACUUGUGUUAUUUCAGGGCUAUUUUGACUUCUCUUGCAUGCCUAGACAAUUCAGUUUGUACAUUUGUUGUCUUUAACAAAAUUGUAGGUUGUAAUUUUUUUUAAUGUAUUUUCAAACACAGGGUGGAACCUUCAAACCUUUUAAAAAAAAAAGGCAUUACUUAAAGCUGUUCUGUAGGUAGUUUGAUACUGUAUGGCAUAAGAGAAAAACAUAGGUUUAGGUUUUGUGGGGGUUGGGGAUUUUAUGUUGGUUUUUUUUUUUUUUUUUUUUUUUUCCCCUCUGGACUUGGGGGGAACGGUGAUCCUUCCUUGAUGUUAGUGAUAUUUUAAAGUAACUUGUUAAGUUUUCUUUUCUUUCUGCUUUUCAAACGCAUUUCCUGUGUUGGCUGGUUUCUGUACUUAGAUUUGUGUGCUAACCUGAUGGGAGUAAUCUGUAGGUUUUGGACUGUGAAACAUAAUGUUACAAUACACCCGCUGAGGUGUUCAAGCUGCCCCAUGGAAUGUUCAUGAUUUCAUCGCUACAAAAAGAUAAAAAUACUCUGUUAACUGUGGCCAAAAUUGAUGAUUAGUGGUGUGUGAGUGAGGAGAAUUUCUAAAAACCAUUGAGAUACAAAUAAUACUUUUUUCCCAAUGGCACUUGAAUUUUUUUAAAUUGUUUUCUGAAUCAUCUGAAUAUGUUUACCAUAGAGAUUUUUUUUGUUGUUGAAUAGUAGAAGUCGGAUACAUUCAUUGGGAUCUUCAUAAAUGCGUCAGCUAGCAGCUUUGUUCUCACAGGUUUUUCUUCUUGCGAGGGUCCUGACAAUAGUCCACGUGGGCAGUUCUGGAGCUUGCUUACAGUUUUGCUAUUUUUCUGUGAUCCUUUCUUCAAAGUAAGGAACACUAGUAUCCUCACACAGGUUUGGAACACUUGCUCUUGCACCCAGCCUUCUCUUUCAACCUUAGCAUUGAAGCAAAGCAAGCAAGGUUGAGGUAGCUCCAUUACUGGGAGUAAUUGAAAGAAGUCUUAGUGUAUAUAAACUUAAAUGUAUUUAAAUAGAGUUGUAUUUAGGUGAAAUUAUUAGAAUGUUUACCCUGUGUGUAUCCAUAGAGAGAGUAUAUAUACACGCAUGGUAUGUGUACAUACACAAACAAAAAAAAAAAAAAGCCCAACAAAUAGGAAGAGAAAUGAAAAUGUUAGGACUCUGCAGCCUGAUCUAUUUUAGGGGGGAAAAGCAUGCAGAGGAUGAAAGGGUAUUGAGGGUUAAUAAUAACUUUUCUAACUCUCGUAGGAAAUGACAGAGAUCCAGGUACCAUCAUUUUGGUAUUUAUAUUUAAUUACAUAAACCAAUAACAUGUUGAGAAAUUGGAGACAGUGUACCUCCUCCCCCCUACCAGUAAUCAAAGGCCCUAGAAUUGGGUGAUCACUUCAAAAAGAUGCUUGAUGGGGAGAGGAAGUCAUAAAAUAGAUUAGAUGAAGAUUGACUUGAUAACAGUAAACACUGGUUUGUCAGUCUUUCAUCUAAUGGUUGAAAUAAAUAUUUCAAAAUCUUUUCUUUUGUGGAUUUUCAUUUCCACAGUAUUCAUUCUUGGGGAGUUCUUUCUCUGGUAGCUAAGCUUUGUUUGAAUUCAGGUUUUUUGUUUCUUGUUAAAAAGAGUAAUGCUUUAAAACACUGAUCUGAGACAGAAAUCCAAGACUAGUUACAAUUUUAUGGUUCAGAAAACAAACACUUGACUUCAAAAAGCCUACAAUUUGGUGUUUAUUUCUAAAACAUUUCCUAAGUUAUGGAGUAUGACAAAGUCAGGGAGGCUGCAGUCUUUUGACUGGUUGGUCUGCAUCACUGUGUCUUGCAGUGGCAAAACUUGCAGAGGCCUGAUUUUACAGAUACUAGCUGGUAUAUGUAAGAAUGCAAAUUGUUAAUAUAUGUGGGUUCUGAGGACGGUAUUUUUUGUGUGACAAGCGUUUUGGUGUCUCAAGUUGUCAGUAUUCCUAUGAAUCUUUGGCUGCAGAUGGUCUUGAUGCAGUCAGAAGCAGAGAAAAUGCAAGUGCAUUGCGACUUGCCAGACAAUGAAGACAGAAUGAUGGUGAGAACUUUUAAGACAAGUACUUUAAUGUAGUAAUCAAUUGUUAUUCUUGCUGCAGUUCUAAAGUUUAUUUUUUCCAAAACACUUGAAUGGAGUAUAAAUAGCAGUUCAAAGAUGUGCUGAAGGAUUGUUCAAAUUUUAAGAAGCUUAUUAAUAUUGACUGUGAAUAGACACUUUCUCUUAAUUCAUAUCCUACUGAAGAAAUUUUAAAAUUUUGGUUUGUAAUUAACUAGCAAAGUAAGGGUAUUGAGUCUAAUGAAAGUUGGGUAAAAAAACCCCAACUGUUUAGGCUGGGGAGUAUUUACAUAAAAGUCCUUUGACGAAAAUAAGAAAUUUUGUCCUGAAAUUACUGCCUCAAAUUUUAAGUAACACCAGCUGUUUCUGUCAGCAAUAAAUGACUUUUUUUUGGUCAGUGGUUUUGGGUUUUUUUUUAUUGUUGUUAUUUUAAUUCCUGUCUGGUACACCUAAAACUAAGAAGGUCACUUUGUUCAUGUAUAGUUUCUGAGAUGCUUUUUCUUUU